Molecule: ribosomal RNA, 253 nt
Filed under: uncultured bacterium
Lineage: Bacteria
Description: partial 16S ribosomal RNA
Rfam family: Bacterial small subunit ribosomal RNA
Source: RNAcentral
UACGGGGGGGGCAAGCGUUGUUCGGAAUUACUGGGCGUAAAGGGCUCGUAGGCGGCCAACUAAGUCGGACGUGAAAUCCCCAGGCUCAACCUGGGAACUGCGUCUGAUACUGGAUGGCUUGAAUCCGGGAGAGGGAUGCAGAAUUCCAGGUGUAGCGGUGAAAUGCGUAGAUAUCGGGAGGAAUACCAGCGGCGAAGGCGGCCUUCUGGACGGUGACUGACGCUGAGACGCGAAAGCGUGGGGAGCAAACAGG